RNAcentral lists this ribosomal RNA (449 nucleotides) under uncultured bacterium. RNAcentral describes it as "partial 16S ribosomal RNA". It matches the Rfam family "Bacterial small subunit ribosomal RNA", at positions 354 to 796 of the family's 1533-position model. The record is from RNAcentral.
GUGGGGAAUCUUCCGCAAUGGACGAAAGUCUGACGGAGCGACGCCGCGUGAGUGAUGAAGGCCUUCGGGUCGUAAAGCUCUGUCAUCGGGGACGAACGGCCUCAGCAGGUAAUGGCUGGGGAUUGACGGUACCCGAGAAGGAAGCCACGGCUAACUACGUGCCAGCAGCCGCGGUAAUACGUAGGUGGCAAGCGUUGUCCGGAAUUAUUGGGCGUAAAGCGCGCGCAGGUGGGAUCUUAAGUCCAUUUUGAAAGUUCGGAGCUCAACUCCGUGAUGGGAUGGAAACUGGGAUUCUUGAGUACCGGAGAGGAAAGCGGAAUUCCCCGUGUAGCGGUGAAAUGCGUAGAUAUGGGGAGGAACACCAGUGGCGAAGGCGGCUUUCUGGACGGUGUCUGACACUGAGGCGCGAAAGCCAGGGGAGCGAACGGGAUUAGAUACCCUAGUAGUCC